AUUGAACGCUGGCGGCAGGCUUAACACAUGCAAGUCGAACGAUGAAACUCUAGCUUGCUAGAGAAGAUUAGUGGCGGACGGGUGAGUAACAUUUAGGAAUCUGCCUAGUAGUGGGGGAUAGCUCGGGGAAACUCGAAUUAAUACCGCAUACGACCUACGGGUGAAAGGGGGCGCAAGCUCUUGCUAUUAGAUGAGCCUAAAUCAGAUUAGCUAGUUGGUGGGGUAAAGGCCCACCAAGGCGACGAUCUGUAACUGGUCUGAGAGGAUGAUCAGUCACACCGGAACUGAGACACGGUCCGGACUCCUACGGGAGGCAGCAGUGGGGAAUAUUGGACAAUGGGGGCAACCCUGAUCCAGCCGUGCCGCGUGUGUGAAGAAGGCCUUUUGGUUGUAAAGCACUUUAAGCAGGGAGGAGAGGCUAAUGGUUAAUACCCAUUAGAUUAGACGUUACCUGCAGAAUAAGCACCGGCUAACUCUGUGCCAGCAGCCGCGGUAAUACAGAGGGUGCGAGCGUUAAUCGGAAUUACUGGGCGUAAAGCGAGUGUAGGUGGCUCAUUAAGUCACAUGUGAAAUCCCCGGGCUUAACCUGGGAACUGCAUGUGAUACUGGUGGUGCUAGAAUAUGUGAGAGGGAAGUAGAAUUCCAGGUGUAGCGGUGAAAUGCGUAGAGAUCUGGAGGAAUACCGAUGGCGAAGGCAGCUUCCUGGCAUAAUAUUGACACUGAGAUUCGAAAGCGUGGGUAGCAAACAGGAUUAGAUACCCUGGUAGUCCACGCCGUAAACGAUGUCUACUAGCCGUUGGGGUCCUUGAGACUUUAGUGGCGCAGUUAACGCGAUAAGUAGACCGCCUGGGGAGUACGGCCGCAAGGUUAAAACUCAAAUGAAUUGACGGGGGCCCGCACAAGCGGUGGAGCAUGUGGUUUAAUUCGAUGCAACGCGAAGAACCUUACCUGGUCUUGACAUAGUGAGAAUCUUUCAGAGAUGAGAGAGUGCCUUCGGGAAUUCACAUACAGGUGCUGCAUGGCUGUCGUCAGCUCGUGUCGUGAGAUGUUGGGUUAAGUCCCGCAACGAGCGCAACCCUUUUCCUUAUUUGCCAGCGGGUUAAGCCGGGAACUUUAAGGAUACUGCCAGUGACAAACUGGAGGAAGGCGGGGACGACGUCAAGUCAUCAUGGCCCUUACGACCAGGGCUACACACGUGCUACAAUGGUAGGUACAGAGGGUUGCUACACAGCGAUGUGAUGCUAAUCUCAAAAAGCCUAUCGUAGUCCGGAUUGGAGUCUGCAACUCGACUCCAUGAAGUCGGAAUCGCUAGUAAUCGCAGAUCAGAAUGCUGCGGUGAAUACGUUCCCGGGCCU
This 1355-nucleotide ribosomal RNA is filed under the name uncultured bacterium. RNAcentral's name for it is "bacterial SSU rRNA". It matches the Rfam family "Bacterial small subunit ribosomal RNA", at positions 28 to 1381 of the family's 1533-position model. The record is from RNAcentral.